This 307-nucleotide ribosomal RNA is filed under the name Amoebophrya sp. RNAcentral describes it as "SSU rRNA". It matches the Rfam family "Eukaryotic small subunit ribosomal RNA", at positions 595 to 906 of the family's 1831-position model. The record is from RNAcentral. Lineage: Eukaryota; Dinophyceae; Syndiniales; Amoebophryaceae.
UAGCGUAUAUUAAAGUUGUUGCGGUUAAAAAGCUCGUAGUUGGAUUUCUGUUGAGGGCAGCCGGUCCGCAUUUCGUGCGUGUAUCUGGUUUGACCUCGGCAUCUUCUCAAAAAACGUUUCUGCGCUUGAUUGCGUGGAGCGGAGUUUGAGACUUUUACUUUGAGGAAAUUAGAGUGUUCACGGCAGGCGUUCGCCUUGAAUAUAUUAGCAUGGAAUAAUAAUAUAGGAUCUUGGUUCUAUUUUGUUGGUUUCUAGGGCUAGGAUAAUGAUUAAUAGGGACAAUUGGGGGCAUUCGUAUUAACGCGUC